UGGGGAAUAUUGCACAAUGGGCGCAAGCCUGAUGCAGCAACGCCGCGUGAGGGAUGACGGCCUUCGGGUUGUAAACCUCUUUUAGCAGGGAAGAAGCGAAAGUGACGGUACCUGCAGAAAAAGCGCCGGCUAACUACGUGCCAGCGGCCGCGGUAAUACGUAGGGCGCAAGCGUUAUCCGGAAUUAUUGGGCGUAAAGAGCUCGUAGGCGGUUUGUCGCGUCUGCUGUGAAAUCCCGAGGCUCAACCUCGGGUCUGCAGUGGGUACGGGCAGACUAGAGUGCGGUAGGGGAGAUUGGAAUUCCUGGUGUAGCGGUGGAAUGCGCAGAUAUCAGGAGGAACACCGAUGGCGAAGGCAGAUCUCUGGGCCGUAACUGACGCUGAGGAGCGAAAGGGUGGGGAGCAAACAGGCUUAGAUACCCUGGUAGUCCACCCCGUAAACGUUGGGAACUAGUUGUGGGGUCCAUUCCACGGAUUCCGUGACGCAGCUAACGCAUUAAGUUCCCCGCCUGGGGAGUACGGCCGCAAGG
RNAcentral lists this ribosomal RNA (528 nucleotides) under uncultured bacterium. Its description in RNAcentral is "partial 16S ribosomal RNA". It matches the Rfam family "Bacterial small subunit ribosomal RNA", at positions 355 to 893 of the family's 1533-position model. The record is from RNAcentral.